Long non-coding RNA from Carassius auratus (goldfish), 1633 nucleotides. RefSeq lists it as uncharacterized. Lineage: Eukaryota; Metazoa; Chordata; Actinopteri; Cypriniformes; Cyprinidae. The transcript is spliced from 3 exons. The record is from RefSeq and is a predicted model, not a curated record.
GAUUUCAUCUAUAAAUGAUUAUAUAUACAGUCCUGAUAGUAAUUAUUAGGAUUGAUGUUCAGUGGAUCAGCGAGUGAGUGAGAACAGGUGUGGCACUGAGAACUAUUAGCAUGGACGUGAAUGCAAAUCAGAAAAGAGCAGCAUUUGCUAGGCUUCAGACAGACUGCACAAGAACAGAAUUAAAGUGAACAGACUUGUUUCGUGGCUGAAGAUCUGUGGAGCGUCAUAAACUACAGGAGAAACUGAACGUUUGGAAAAGUGGAUUAUGGCAAACAAAGACGAUGAGGUAGAAUCUAAUACACCGAUAGAGAAAAUUACGCCGAGACGAGUCAGACGGAACAGCGUUAAUAGUGGAAAACCAAACUUUUUUCAUGAUGCAGACAGACCUGCAGAGAUCCGUUCUGAUCUUCAAGUCAAGUCACCUUUAUUUCUGUAGUGUUUUAUACAAUACAGAUAGAUUCACAGAUGAGAUGACAUUUACACACAGAGAAAAAAAAUACUAUAAAAAACUAAUGCAUUUGUAAGUUGUAAUAUCAUAAUGAAAUGAAUUUAGAAUUAAAAUAUUUUUUCCCAUUUAAUUUCACUAAUGAAUCUGCACUAUGACAACACUGACUGGCACUGACAUUUAUUUUGAUUGGGUUUAUGUUCAUGUUGUAUAUUGUGUUUGUAAAUUUUGUAAAAAAAAGACAGAAAACAAACAAUAAAUGAAAAACAAGCAAGUAAAGCAAAGCGCAAUCAAUACAAAUCUCUCAUGCACACUUUGCAUUAAAUCAUUUGUAUGUAGUAUUUCCCAACCUUAUUUCCAUCCUCUAUGCAAAGUUGCUGAGAUUACCCUUUGUCAUUGCCUGAUACUGUAAGAUAGCUCCACAGGAUAAUGGUUUUAACAGUUGUGAAAUAAAAGCAUUCUGAUAUAUAUGUGAGCUUCCUUUAGUGAAAAUUGAUGUCAAGAAAAUGUCAUGCCAACACUGAUGGCACUAGCAGAUCAGGUUCAAAAUAAAGUGCUGUAUAAACACAUGAACUGGAUGCUAAUGCCUCAUUUGUUUGUCGUGCAAAUCACUUUCGAUCACUCAUAAGAGCAGAUUUGUUUUUUAACAUGGCUUUAUAAUGUACAGAUUCAACUUGUUUUUCUGAAAAGCCAUCAGUGGGUAUUUUCUGCUUUGAGAAUAAAAUAGUUAUUUACAAAACAAAUUGAAUGUAUGGUUUAAAUUUAACACUUCUUUUUUUCUUUUUUCUUUUUUUUAAGUUUUCACAUUUGCUAUCAUCACAAUAAUGUCCUGGUUGUCCCUUCAGUCCUAAAACUCACAGAAAUAGCUCAAUGAAAUGCAGAAGAAAUGCUGGGUCACAAAACUAUAUUCAACCAGGUAGCCAAAAUUGUCUGCACGCACUGGAAACAUGCAAUCAGACUAAAGAAGGUCUAUCAAAAAUAUCUCUUUUAUUUUUCAUAUACGAAAGUAGAAAAGUUGCAAAAGUGAAAGGUAUCUUAAAAACAAACCAAAGAGCAAAUGUUUCAACCCAUGCUUUCUUUAGUGCACCAAAAAAUAAAAUAUAUAUUUUUGAUAGACCUUUUUUUGGUCUUAUUGCCUGUUUCUGGUGUGUGGACAACCUGGUUAAAUAUAUUUUCAAGAAUGUAUCA